UACGUAGGGUCCAAGCAUUAUCCGGAUUUAUUGGGCGUAAAGCACAUGUAGGUGGUUUUGUAAGUCUUAUCUUAAAUCUCCGAGCUCAACUCGGAUUCUGGCUAAGAUACUGCAAGGCUAGUGGUCAGCAGGGGCAAACGGAAUUCCCGGUGUAGGAGUGAAAUCCGUUGAUAUCGGGAGGAACACCAAUGGCGAAGGCAGUUUGCUGGGCUGAUUCAGACACUGAGAUGUGAAAGCGUGGGGAGCGAACGGG
Molecule: ribosomal RNA, 253 nt
Filed under: uncultured bacterium
Lineage: Bacteria
Description: partial 16S ribosomal RNA
Rfam family: Bacterial small subunit ribosomal RNA
Source: RNAcentral